CAGUAGCCGCGGUAAUACGAAGGGUGCGAGCGUUACUCGGAAUUACUGGGUGUAAAGCGUGCGUAGGUGGUGGUUUAAGUCCGUUGUGAAAGCCCUGGGCUCAACCUGGGAAUGGCAGUGGAUACUGGCAAGCUAGAGUGUGUCAGAGGAUGGUGGAAUUCCCGGUGUAGCGGUGAAAUGCGUAGAGAUCGGGAGGAACAUCAGUGGCGAAGGCGGCCAUCUGGGACAACACUGACGCUGAGGCACGAAAGCGUGGGGAGCAAACAGGAUUAGAUACCCGCGUAGUCCCUGUCUCUUAUAC
RNAcentral lists this ribosomal RNA (301 nucleotides) under uncultured bacterium. RNAcentral describes it as "partial 16S ribosomal RNA". It matches the Rfam family "Bacterial small subunit ribosomal RNA", at positions 509 to 807 of the family's 1533-position model. The record is from RNAcentral.